GCCAGGUGUGGUCACGUGCACCUGUAGUCUCAGCUACUUUGGAGGCUGAGGCAGGAGAAUUGUUUGAGCCCAGGAGGCAGAGGUUGUAGUGAGCCGAGAUCGUGCCACUGCAUUCCAGCCUGGGCGACAGAGCAGGACCCUGUCUCCA
Non-coding RNA from Pan troglodytes (chimpanzee), 148 nucleotides. It matches the Rfam family "Metazoan signal recognition particle RNA". From Rfam's summary of the family: The signal recognition particle (SRP) is a universally conserved ribonucleoprotein. The record is from Rfam. Lineage: Eukaryota; Metazoa; Chordata; Mammalia; Primates; Hominidae.